GACGAACGCUGGCGGCGUGCUUAACACAUGCAAGUCGAGGGGGUUCGUGGGCAACCUGCGGAUCACCGGCGAACGGGUGCGUAACACGUGAGCGACCUGCCGUACCUGUGGGGGAUAGCCGGCCCAACGGCCGGGUAAUACCGCAUACGCUCGUUUUGGGGCAUCCCGAGGCGAGGAAAGCGUGGGGGCAACCCCACCGCGCAGGACGAGGGGCGUCGCGGCCGUAUCAGCUGGUUGGCGGGGUAACGGCCCACCAAGGCGGACGACGGGUAGCUGGUCUGAGAGGAUGGCCAGCCACAUUGGGGCUGAGAGACGGCCCAGACUCCUACCGGGAGGCAGCAGUGGGGAAUCUUGCGCAAUGGCCGAAAGGCUGACGCAGCGACGCCGCGUGGAGGAUGACGGCCU
RNAcentral lists this ribosomal RNA (405 nucleotides) under uncultured bacterium. RNAcentral describes it as "bacterial SSU rRNA". It matches the Rfam family "Bacterial small subunit ribosomal RNA", at positions 28 to 417 of the family's 1533-position model. The record is from RNAcentral.